AGUGAACGCUGGCGGUAGGCCUAACACAUGCAAGUCGAACGGCAGCACAGUAAGAGCUUGCUCUUACGGGUGGCGAGUGGCGGACGGGUGAGGAAUACAUCGGUAUCUACUUUUUCGUGGGGGAUAACGUAGGGAAACUUACGCUAAUACCGCAUACGACUUACGGGUGAAAGCAGGGGAUCUUCGGACCUUGCGCGAUUGAAUGAGCCGAUGUCGGAUUAGCUAGUUGGCGGGGUAAAGGCCCACCAAGGCGACGAUCCGUAGCUGGUCUGAGAGGAUGAUCAGCCACACUGGAACUGAGACACGGUCCAGACUCCUACGGGAGGCAGCAGUGGGGAAUAUUGGACAAUGGGCGCAAGCCUGAUCCAGCCAUACCGCGUGGGUGAAGAAGGCCUUCGGGUUGUAAAGCCCUUUUGUUGGGAAAGAAAAGCAGCAGGUUAAUACCCCGCUGUUCUGACGGUACCCAAAGAAUAAGCACCGGCUAACUUCGUG
Molecule: ribosomal RNA, 492 nt
Filed under: uncultured bacterium
Lineage: Bacteria
Description: partial 16S ribosomal RNA
Rfam family: Bacterial small subunit ribosomal RNA
Source: RNAcentral